CCCAUUGUGCAGAGAGGUAAAAAUAUCUCGAUAGUGUCAUCGAUUGUUGCCCAGCUCUAACACUCAGUAAGACAUUUAAUAUCAAUCCAUAGUUGAUUAAAAGUAAAGAAUACACCUACAUCAUGCAGGGGCUCGGAUUACAAAGUCUUAA
Molecule: long non-coding RNA, 151 nt
Organism: Drosophila arizonae
Lineage: Eukaryota; Metazoa; Arthropoda; Insecta; Diptera; Drosophilidae
Gene: ND-MLRQ
Source: RefSeq, a predicted model, not a curated record